UGAGGAAUAUUGGUCAAUGGGCGCAGGCCUGAACCAGCCAAGUAGCGUGAAGGAUGACUGCCCUAUGGGUUGUAAACUUCUUUUAUAUGGGAAUAAAGUUUUCCACGUGUGGAAUUUUGUAUGUACCAUAUGAAUAAGGAUCGGCUAACUCCGUGCCAGCAGCCGCGGUAAUACGGAGGAUCCGAGCGUUAUCCGGAUUUAUUGGGUUUAAAGGGAGCGUAGGUGGACAGUUAAGUCAGUUGUGAAAGUUUGCGGCUCAACCGUAAAAUUGCAGUUGAUACUGGCUGUCUUGAGUACAGUAGAGGUGGGCGGAAUUCGUGGUGUAGCGGUGAAAUGCUUAGAUAUCACGAAGAACUCCGAUUGCGAAGGCAGCUCACUGGACUGCAACUGACACUGAUGCUCGAAAGUGUGGGUAUCAAACAGG
RNAcentral lists this ribosomal RNA (424 nucleotides) under Acidobacteriota bacterium. RNAcentral describes it as "Acidobacteria bacterium partial 16S ribosomal RNA". It matches the Rfam family "Bacterial small subunit ribosomal RNA", at positions 355 to 776 of the family's 1533-position model. The record is from RNAcentral. RNAcentral also lists the same sequence under 3 other names. Lineage: Bacteria; Pseudomonadati; Acidobacteriota.